This 73-nucleotide transfer RNA is filed under the name bacterium. RNAcentral describes it as "tRNA-Met". It matches the Rfam family "tRNA". From Rfam's summary of the family: Transfer RNA (tRNA) molecules are approximately 80 nucleotides in length. Their secondary structure includes four short double-helical elements and three loops (D, anti-codon, and T loops). Further hydrogen bonds mediate the characteristic L-shaped molecular structure. tRNAs have two regions of fundamental functional importance: the anti-codon, which is responsible for specific mRNA codon recognition, and the 3' end, to which the tRNAs corresponding amino acid is attached (by aminoacyl-tRNA synthetases). tRNAs cope with the degeneracy of the genetic code in two manners: having more than one tRNA (with a specific anti-codon) for a particular amino acid; and 'wobble' base-pairing, i.e. permitting non-standard base-pairing at the 3rd anti-codon position. The record is from RNAcentral.
GGCGGGGUAGCUCAGUUGGUAGAGCAUGGGACUCAUAAACCCAAGGUCGUGGGUUCAAUCCCCACCCCCGUCA